This 492-nucleotide ribosomal RNA is filed under the name uncultured bacterium. RNAcentral describes it as "partial 16S ribosomal RNA". It matches the Rfam family "Bacterial small subunit ribosomal RNA", at positions 29 to 507 of the family's 1533-position model. The record is from RNAcentral.
AGUGAACGCUGGCGGUAGGCCUAACACAUGCAAGUCGAACGGCAGCACAGUAAGAGCUUGCUCUUACGGGUGGCGAGUGGCGGACGGGUGAGGAAUACAUCGGAAUCUACUUUUUCGUGGGGGAUAACGUAGGGAAACUUACGCUAAUACCGCAUACGACCUACGGGUGAAAGCAGUGGAUCUUCGCACCUUGCGCGAUUGAAUGAGCCGAUGUCGGAUUAGCUAGUUGGCGGGGUAAAGGCCCACCAAGGCGACGAUCCGUAGCUGGUCUGAGAGGAUGAUCAGCGACACUGGAACUGAGACACGGUCCAGACUCCUACGGGAGGGAGCAGUGGGGAAUAUUGGGCAAUGGGGGGAAGCCUGAUCCAGCCAGACCGCGUGGGUGAAGAAGGCCUUCGGGUUGUAAAGCCCUUUUGUUGGGAAAGAAAAGCAGCAGGUUAAUACCCAGCUGUUCUGACGGUACCCAAAGAAUAAGCACCGGCUAACUUCGUG